CCUACGGGAGGCUGCAGUGGGGAAUAUUGCGCAAUGGGCGAAAGCCUGACGCAGCGACGCCGCGUGAGGGAUGAAGGUCUUCGGAUCGUAAACCUCUGUCAGCAGGGAAGAACGGUCACUGUGCUAAUCAGCAGUGAAUUGACGGUACCUGCACAGGAAGCACCGGCUAACUCUGUGCCAGCAGCCGCGGUAAUACGUAGGGUGCGAGCGUUAAUCGGAAUUACUGGGCGUAAAGCGCUCGUAGGCGGUAUGUCAAGUCUAGGGUGAAAUCCCCGCGCUCAACGUGGGAACUGCCUUUGAAACUGGAAAACUGGAGUGUGGGAGAGGAUAGUGGAAUUCCAGGUGUAGGAGUGAAAUGCGUAGAUAUCUGGAGGAACAUCAGUGGCGAAGGCGACUAUCUGGCACAUAACUGACGCUGAGGAGCGAAAGCGUGGGUAGCAAACAGGAUUAGAUACCCGUGUAGUC
Molecule: ribosomal RNA, 465 nt
Filed under: uncultured bacterium
Lineage: Bacteria
Description: partial 16S ribosomal RNA
Rfam family: Bacterial small subunit ribosomal RNA
Source: RNAcentral